RNAcentral lists this ribosomal RNA (495 nucleotides) under uncultured Desulfobulbus sp. Its description in RNAcentral is "bacterial SSU rRNA". It matches the Rfam family "Bacterial small subunit ribosomal RNA", at positions 894 to 1382 of the family's 1533-position model. Lineage: Bacteria; Pseudomonadati; Thermodesulfobacteriota; Desulfobulbia; Desulfobulbales; Desulfobulbaceae. The record is from RNAcentral.
CAGAAACUUAAAGGAAGUUGACGGGGCCCGGCACAAGCGGUGGAGUAUGUGGUUUAAUUCGAUGCAACGCGAAGAACCUUACCUGGUCUUGACAUCCCGGAGACCCUUAGGAAACUAGGGGGUGCUUCCAUCUGGAAGAAUCUGGAGACAGGUGCUGCAUGGCUGUCGUCAGCUCGUGUCGUGAGAUGUUGGGUUAAGUCCCGCAACGAGCGCAACCCUUGCCUUUAGUUGCCAGCAGUUCGGCUGGGCACUCUAAAGGGACUGCCGGUGUUAAACCGGAGGAAGGUGGGGAUGACGUCAAGUCCUCAUGGCCUUUAUGACCAGGGCUACACACGUACUACAAUGGCCGAUACAAAGGGCAGCGACACUGCGAGGUGAAGCCAAUCCCGUAAAAUCGGUCUCAGUCCGGAUUGGAGUCUGCAACUCGACUCCAUGAAGUUGGAAUCGCUAGUAAUCGUGGAUCAGCAUGCCACGGUGAAUACGUUCCCGGGCCUU